UAUAAGGGGGUAGAGCACUGAAUGGGCUAGGGCAUACACCAAUGUACCAAACCCUAUCAAACUCCGAAUACCUUAUAUGUAAUCACAGCAGUCAGGCGGCGAGUGAUAAAAUCCGUCGUCAAGAGGGAAACAACCCAGACUACCAGCUAAGGUCCCUAAAUCUUACUUAAGUGGAAAACGAUGUGAAGUUACUUAAACAACCAGGAGGUUGGCUUAGAAGCAGCCAUCCUUUAAAGAAAGCGUAAUAGCUCACUGGUCUAGUGAUUUUGCGCGGAAAAUAUAACGGGGCUAAAGUAAGUACCGAAGCUGUAGACUUGCGCACAACUUAGAUUAUUUAAGUUUAGAAUAUGAGAAACUAAGUUAUAUGUUUAGUUAUAUUUUUACUGAUUUUUAUAGAGUAAAGAUAGAAAUAAAACUUAGUAAAAUCAGUAAAAAUAUUCUUAGAUUAAAGUUAAGUAGUUUAAGUUGUGUGCAAGUGGUAGGAGAGCGUUCUAUUUGCGUCGAAGGUAUACCGGUAAGGAGUGCUGGAGCGAAUAGAAGUGAGCAUGCAGGCAUGAGUAGCGAUAAUUAAUGUGAGAAUCAUUAACGCCGUAAACCCAAGGUUUCCUACGCGAUGCUCGUCAUCGUAGGGUUAGUCGGGUCCUAAGUCGAGUCCGAAAGGGGUAGACGAUGGCAAAUUGGUUAAUAUUCCAAUACCAACAUUAGUGUGCGAUGGAAGGACGCUUAGGGCUAAGCAAGCUAGCGGAUGGAAGUGCUAGUCUAAGGAUGUAGGAGCUUAUACAGGCAAAUCCGUAUAAGAAUACUCCGAGAUCUUAAAGGCUCUUUGAAGUCUUCGGAUGGAUAGGAGAAUUGCUGAUGCCGUCGAGCCAAGAAAAGUUUCUAAGUUUAGCUAAUGUUGCCCGUACCGUAAACCGACACAGGUGGGUGGGAUGAGUAUUCUAAGGCGCGUGGAAGAACUCUCUUUAAGGAACUCUGCAAAAUAGCACCGUAUCUUCGGUAUAAGGUGUGGUUCGCUUCGUAUUAGGAUUUACUCCGAAAGCGAAGAAACUUACAACAAAGAGUCCCUCCCGACUGUUUACCAAAAACACAGCACUCUGCUAACUCGUAAGAGGAUGUAUAGGGUGUGACGCCUGCCCGGUGCUCGAAGGUUAAUUGAUGGGGUUAGCAUUAGCGAAGCUCUUGAUCGAAGCCCGAGUAAACGGCGGCCGUAACUAUAACGGUCCUAAGGUAGCGAAAUUCCUUGUCGGUUAAAUACCGACCUGCAUGAAUGGCGUAACGAGAUGGGAGCUGUCUCAAAGAGGGAUCCAGUGAAAUUGUAGUGGAGGUGAAAAUUCCUCCUACCCGCGGCAAGACGGAAAGACCCCGUGGACCUUUACUACAGCUUGACACUGCUAUUUGGAUAAGAAUGUGCAGGAUAGGUGGGAGGCUUUGAGUAUAUGACGCCAGUUGUAUAUGAGCCAUUGUUGAGAUACCACUCUUUCUUAUUUGGGUAGCUAACCAGCUUGAGUUAUCCUCAAGUGGGACAAUGUCUGGUGGGUAGUUUGACUGGGGCGGUCGCCUCCCAAAUAAUAACGGAGGCUUACAAAGGUUGGCUCAGAACGGUUGGAAAUCGUUCGUAGAGUAUAAAGGUAUAAGCCAGCUUAACUGCAAGACAUACAAGUCAAGCAGAGACGAAAGUCGGUCUUAGUGAUCCGGUGGUUCUGUGUGGAAGGGCCAUCGCUCAAAGGAUAAAAGGUACCCCGGGGAUAACAGGCUGAUCUCCCCCAAGAGCUCACAUCGACGGGGAGGUUUGGCACCUCGAUGUCGGCUCAUCGCAUCCUGGGGCUGGAGCAGGUCCCAAGGGUAUGGCUGUUCGCCAUUUAAAGCGGUACGCGAGCUGGGUUCAGAACGUCGUGAGACAGUUCGGUCCCUAUCUGCCGUGGGCGUAAGAAGAUUGAAGAGAUUUGACCCUAGUACGAGAGGACCGGGUUGAACAAACCACUGGUGUAGCUGUUGUUCUGCCAAGAGCAUCGCAGCGUAGCUAAGUUUGGAACGGAUAAACGCUGAAAGCAUCUAAGCGUGAAGCCAACUCUAAGAUGAAUCUUCUCUAAGCUCUCUAGAAGACUACUAGUUUGAUAGGCUGGGUGUGUAAUGGAUGAAAGUCCUUUAGCUGACCAGUACUAAUAGAGCGUUUGGCUUAUCUUUUUU
RNAcentral lists this ribosomal RNA (2187 nucleotides) under Campylobacter lari. Its description in RNAcentral is "partial 23S ribosomal RNA". It matches the Rfam family "Bacterial large subunit ribosomal RNA", at positions 893 to 2925 of the family's 2925-position model. The record is from RNAcentral. Lineage: Bacteria; Pseudomonadati; Campylobacterota; Epsilonproteobacteria; Campylobacterales; Campylobacteraceae.